Molecule: unclassified non-coding RNA, 518 nt
Filed under: uncultured Glomeromycotina
Lineage: Eukaryota; Fungi; Glomeromycota
Description: SSU rRNA
Rfam family: Eukaryotic small subunit ribosomal RNA
Source: RNAcentral
CCAAUAGCGUAUAUUAAAGUUGUUGCAGUUAAAAAGCUCGUAGUUGAAUUUCGGGAUCAAUUUGUUGGUCGUGCCUCGGUACGUACUGGCAUUAUUGGUUUCUACCUUCUGAAGAACCUUGAUGUCAUUAAUUUGGUGUCUUGGGGAAUCAGGACUGUUACUUUGAAAAAAUUAGAGUGUUUAAAGCAGGCAUACGCUUGAAUACAUUAGCAUGGAAUAAUGAAAUAGGACGUUUGAUUCUAUUUUGUUGGUUUCUAGGAUCGACGUAAUGAUUAAUAGGGAUAGUUGGGGGCAUUAGUAUUCAAUUGUCAGAGGUGAAAUUCUUGGAUUUAUUGAAGACUAACUACUGCGAAAGCAUUUGCCAAGGAUGUUUUCAUUAAUCAAGAACGAAAGUUAGGGGAUCGAAGACGAUCAGAUACCGUCGUAGUCUUAACCAUAAACUAUGCCGACUAGGGAUCGGAUGAUGUUAUUUUUAAUGACUCAUUCGGCGCCUUACGGGAAACCAAAGUGUUGGGUUC